RNAcentral lists this transfer RNA (80 nucleotides) under Methanoculleus bourgensis. Its description in RNAcentral is "tRNA-Ala". The record is from RNAcentral. Lineage: Archaea; Methanobacteriati; Methanobacteriota; Methanomicrobia; Methanomicrobiales; Methanomicrobiaceae.
UGAACGGUGUUGCCGACCGGUUCGGCGGCAGGAUCGUUGGCAUCGACCCCGGCGCCGGGAUCAUGACCCGGACCGAGCAG